This 109-nucleotide small nucleolar RNA is filed under the name Octopus bimaculoides (California two-spot octopus). RNAcentral describes it as "small nucleolar RNA U13". It matches the Rfam family "Small nucleolar RNA U13". Lineage: Eukaryota; Metazoa; Mollusca; Cephalopoda; Octopoda; Octopodidae. The record is from RNAcentral.
AUCCUUCUGUGUUCAGAAGAAAUGAUGAAUCGGGUUAUCACGUACUGAUAUGUGAGACAUGUCGCCGUUUACCUUGUUACGACUAUACGACAUGACACCCUGUCUGAUU